AGUGAACGCUGGCGGUAGGCCUAACACAUGCAAGUCGAACGGCAGCACAGGAGAGCUUGCUCUCUGGGUGGCGAGUGGCGGACGGGUGAGGAAUACAUCGGAAUCUACUUUUUCGUGGGGGAUAACGUAGGGAAACUUACGCUAAUACCGCAUACGACCUACAGGUGAAAGCAGGGGAUCUUCGGACCUUGCGCGAUUGAAUGAGGCGAUGUCGGGUUAGCUAGUUGGCGGGGUAAAGGCCCACCAAGGCGACGAUCCGUAGCUGGUCUGAGAGGAUGAUCAGCCACACUGGAACUGAGACACGGUCCAGACUCCUACGGGAGGCAGCAGCGGGGAAUAUUGGACAAUGGGCGCAAGCCUGAUCCAGCCAUACCGCGUGGGUGAAGAAGGCCUUCGGGUUGUAAAGCCCUUUUGUUGGGAAAGAAAUCCAGCUGGUUAAUACCCGGUUGGGAUGACGGUACCCAAAGAAUAAGCACCGGCUAACUUCGUGCCAGCCGCCGCAGUAA
Molecule: ribosomal RNA, 506 nt
Filed under: uncultured bacterium
Lineage: Bacteria
Description: partial 16S ribosomal RNA
Rfam family: Bacterial small subunit ribosomal RNA
Source: RNAcentral